GGAGUCCGCGCGGAGUCAGGUGUGCAGCGCGGGCUGGGGCGCUGCCUGGUGGCUGCGGCCGGUAGCACCUCUGAUGGCACGGACGCCUGUCUCGGAUACUAUCCUGGAGACGAGCGAAGGCCUGGAGGUGAGGCCGCUGCCACCGCACUUAGCCCCGUGACUCCCCCAGGGACGGGCAGAGGAAUGGCGAGCUAGCCUCUGCCCCGGCGUGCCCCUGCAGGAGGGAGCGACUUCGCCUCCCGAGAGUCGCUUAGAAUUAGGGCUGCCCGCACCCGGAGGGCCACUUCUUUCGCUGCCUGACCCCACCUGUCAUCCCCAGCGGUCCUCAUGGACGAAAUAAGUUUCCCCCAGAAUAGACAUUUAUAGGCAUUUUCUUUUUCCUUCUUCGUCGUCUUUUUUUUUUUUUUUCUUUUUUGCCAUUCUGAAAAUAUAAAGCACCUACCGCUGCCAGGCGCUGUGCUGUGACAGUCUAAAUUCCAUGCGUAGGCAAGGUCUUUGCUCAAAACGUUAAGUGCCGGCACAAGCCUUAUCUGCUUCUUUUAAAGUGAUCCUCUUCUUUCGAGUGUGGGGCAAUAAUAUUCAUGACAAGCAUUUAUUACUUAGGCCGACUCUCCCUGCUGUGCUUGAUUUUAAAGAAAAAUAACUGCUAAGGUUAAUUGAAAUUUUACCUUGUGCCAGUCAUGGUAUUAAGCAUAUAAAGUGGAUCGUCUUACUAAUCCUGAGAACAGCCCUUUGAGGUUAAUCUCCUGGAGCAGAGAAAAGAGGCAGCCAAGGAAGAAUUGCUGAACCAGUUAGGAGACUACUGCAGCCAUCCCAGCAAGAGAUGAUAAUGUGGACUCAGGGGAUGGCAGAGCAGACACAGAAAAGUGGACAGGUUGCAGAGGUCAUGGAAGAGCCGGCGUGUGGGGGAACUUUUAUUCUUAUGUCCAAAUAUGUAAUCUACUCAGAUGUAGCUUCUUUC
This is a long non-coding RNA of Mirounga angustirostris (Northern elephant seal), 961 nucleotides long. RefSeq lists it as uncharacterized. The record is from RefSeq and is a predicted model, not a curated record. The transcript has 3 exons. Lineage: Eukaryota; Metazoa; Chordata; Mammalia; Carnivora; Phocidae.